RNAcentral lists this ribosomal RNA (39 nucleotides) under Phlebotomus papatasi. RNAcentral describes it as "partial 28S ribosomal RNA". Lineage: Eukaryota; Metazoa; Arthropoda; Insecta; Diptera; Psychodidae. The record is from RNAcentral.
GAUCUCAACUCAUACGUGACUACCCCCUAAAUUUAAGCA